UGAGACACACAUAUGUCAAACCUGGGGUUUGAACUCUAAUGGGCUAGGGGUACAACCAUCCUCCUAACCACAACCUCAGAUUGGUUCUCUCUUCCAACACCAUAGAUAUAAUAGACAUGUCUUUUUCUCUCAUCCAACACCAUAGAUAGAAUAGACAACACUUUUCCUGUGGGGUUUGCUCGUCCAUUUUCGGAUGCUAUUGCACACUAUUUUCAGGGGCUGGAUCACCACGUGCAUGGCUUGGAAACACACGCAUCCAUGCACCAACAUGGACGUGUUGCAUGGGGUAAAGGAAGAUCAUCGUUCGCAUGCUCUGGCGCCUAAGCACAGAGCUCGACGACGACGUGGGUGAAGACGCAGGUCAAGAGCAUGAAGGGUGACGCGCAAGCCUAGGAGGGUGGAAAUGACAACCUUGAUGCAACCGGUUCAUACUAACCUCCCUUGAUAGAUCCGAUGCUUAUUAAAAUGUGAAGAACAAGGUUCUAUUGAGUUGGAGAAUCAGAUAGGUGGCUCGCAGUGAUGACUCACGUAUGUAUACAAAGUGGCAUAGAAUCCAAGAGGUAAAGGAAGUUUCUGGCUUUCUGCUAGCAUCAUGGCAGGUGCCGCUUGGACCAUGCCAUACUCGUCACAUGAGGCCACUCGUACCGGGCGUUUGAGGCAUACUGUGUGGAGAAGAAGGAUGCCGGCGAGCAUCAUCCGGGGAGGGUGACAAGCAAUUGUAACUAUUGUAGGGAGAAUUGUGCUAUGUUGUCGCAUGCCAACUUCAGUAGGGCCCCACUGCCUGGCACUUCUCGCUAGGCUUGCCGCUACCUGGAACGCCUCUUUCUGGCCGAACAAUGUUCGGCGAGUCUGGCACUCCUCACCACGCUUCCCACUGUCGGGAAUGUCUCUGUUGUGACCCUCUGCUACACCCGGCUGCGGUGUUUGUGCCAUUGGAUCAAAUUCC
Long non-coding RNA from Lolium perenne, 946 nucleotides. RefSeq lists it as uncharacterized. The record is from RefSeq and is a predicted model, not a curated record. NCBI's taxonomy places the organism in Eukaryota, Viridiplantae, Streptophyta, Magnoliopsida, Poales, Poaceae.